AGGACGAACGCUGGCGGCGUGCUUAACACAUGCAAGUCGAGCGGAAAGGCCCUUCGGGGUACUCGAGCGGCGAACGGGCGAGUAACACGUGAGCAACCUGCCCUUAGCUCCGGGAUAGCUCCGGGAAACCGGAAUUAAUACCGGAUACGACCACGGCCGACAUCUGCUGUGGUGGAAAGGAUUCCGGCUAAGGAUGGGCUCGCGGCCUAUCAGCUAGUUGGUGGAGUAACGGCCCACCAAGGCGACGACGGGUA
RNAcentral lists this ribosomal RNA (254 nucleotides) under uncultured bacterium. RNAcentral describes it as "partial small subunit ribosomal RNA". It matches the Rfam family "Bacterial small subunit ribosomal RNA", at positions 26 to 285 of the family's 1533-position model. The record is from RNAcentral.